AGGAGGAGGAGUGGCAGGAGGAGGUUUGGACCAGCUGCCAUGUACUGAGGACCCCUCGCCAGGUUGGAGGGCGGUAAUGCCUGCAAGACGGGACAAAAUGCCUGCGAGAAGGGACAAGAGGAAGCAGGGGAAAGUGAAGUCUGGGGACGCUCCGUCCAGAAGGAGAGGACCCGAGCGUGCGAAGGCCUGGAGCUCGUGCGACGGUGAGAGCAGCAGACGCACAACUGAGCUCUUAUAGCUCCUUCACACUUCAUAGAGUGGCUCAUUUCAUCUUUACAUCAACCCGACGAGAGCCCUCUUGGGAGGAGACGGAGGCCAGGUGGCAGACCUUGACUAAAAGACACAGCUAUAAGGGGUC
This 358-nucleotide long non-coding RNA is filed under the name Felis catus (domestic cat). Its description in RNAcentral is "lncRNA (ENSFCAG00000053392.1)". The record is from RNAcentral. Lineage: Eukaryota; Metazoa; Chordata; Mammalia; Carnivora; Felidae.